AGAAUAUAAGAACUCGUCUAUUAACUUUUAACUAAAAAAACUAAGAACGGGUUCUUAAAUAAGAGUUUUAAAAACUGGUUUUUAACUUUUUUUAGUUAAAAAUUAAGAGACGGAUUCUUAGAUUCC
Molecule: microRNA precursor, 126 nt
Organism: Brassica oleracea var. oleracea
Lineage: Eukaryota; Viridiplantae; Streptophyta; Magnoliopsida; Brassicales; Brassicaceae
Rfam family: MIR9563 microRNA precursor family
Source: Rfam